RNAcentral lists this ribosomal RNA (368 nucleotides) under uncultured eukaryote. RNAcentral describes it as "SSU rRNA". It matches the Rfam family "Eukaryotic small subunit ribosomal RNA", at positions 587 to 972 of the family's 1831-position model. The record is from RNAcentral.
AGCUUCACUAGCGUAUAUUAAAGUUGUUGCAGUUAAAAAGCUCGUAGUUGAACUUCUGCUCGGCACGCACUUUGCUUCACCGCGGGUGCGAGCCGAACAUCCGCCUAUAAUCUAUUCUCCUCCUUUACUGGUGGGUUUAGGGAGUAGGCAUUUUACUUUGAAAAAAUUAGAGUGCUCAAAGCAGGUAUAUGCCUGUAUAUAUUAGCAUGGAAUAAUGGAAUAGGACUCUCGUUCAUUUUGUUGGUUAUUGAACAAGAGUAAUGAUUAAUAGGGACAGUUGGGGGCAUUUGUAUUUAAUUGUCAGAGGUGAAAUUCUUGGAUUUAUUAAAGACAAACUUAUGCGAAAGCAUUUGCCAAGGAUGUUUUCA